RNAcentral lists this ribosomal RNA (372 nucleotides) under uncultured organism. Its description in RNAcentral is "partial 16S ribosomal RNA". It matches the Rfam family "Bacterial small subunit ribosomal RNA", at positions 527 to 896 of the family's 1533-position model. The record is from RNAcentral.
GUAGGUGGCAAGCGUUGUCCGGAAUUAUUGGGCGUAAAGCGCGCGCAGGUGGUUCUUUAAGUCUGAUGUGAAAGCCCCCGGGCUCAACCGGGGAGGGUCAUUGGAAACUGGGGAACUUGAGUGCAGGAGAGGAAAGUGGAAUUCCACGUGUAGCGGUGAAAUGCGUAGAUAUGUGGAGGAACACCAGUGGCGAAGGCGACUCUCUGGCCUGUAACUGACACUGAGGCGCGAAAGCGUGGGGAGCAAACAGGAUUAGAUACCCUGGUAGUCCACGCCGUAAACGAUGAGUGCUAAGUGUUGGGGGGUUUCCGCCCCUCAGUGCUGCAGCUAACGCAUUAAGCACUCCGCCUGGGGAGUACGGUCGCAAGACUG